This 896-nucleotide ribosomal RNA is filed under the name Ophiognomonia setacea. RNAcentral describes it as "LSU rRNA". It matches the Rfam family "Eukaryotic large subunit ribosomal RNA", at positions 38 to 965 of the family's 3401-position model. The record is from RNAcentral. Lineage: Eukaryota; Fungi; Ascomycota; Sordariomycetes; Diaporthales; Gnomoniaceae.
GCAUAUCAAUAAGCGGAGGAAAAGAAACCAACACGGAUUGCCUUAGUAACGGCGAGUGAAGCGGCAACAGCUCAAAUUUGAAAUCUGGCUUCGGCCCGAGUUGUAAUUUGCAGAGGAUGUUUAUGGUGCAGUACCUACCGAGUUCCCUGGAACGGGACGCCACAGAGGGUGAGAGCCCCGUCUGGUUGGAUACUAAACCUGUGUUAAACUCCUUCAACGAGUCGAGUAGUUUGGGAAUGCUGCUCUAAAUGGGAGGUAAAUCUCUUCUAAAGCUAAAUACCGGCCAGAGACCGAUAGCGCACAAGUAGAGUGAUCGAAAGAUGAAAAGCACCUUGAAAAGGGGGUUAAACAGUACGUGAAAUUGUUGAAAGGGAAGCGAUUAUGACCAGACUUGUGCCGUGUGGCUCAUCCGAGGUUCUCCCCGGUGCACUCCACACGGCUCAGGCCAACAUCGGUUUUCGUUGGGGGAUAAGAAUAGUAGGAACGUAGCUUUCUUCGGAGAGUGUUAUAGCCUAUUAUACGAUACCCUGACGGGGACCGAGGACCGCGCUUCGGCUAGGAUGUUGGCGUAAUGGUCAUUACCGACCCGUCUUGAAACACGGACCAAGGAGUCGUCCAUUAGAGCGAGCGUUUGGGUGUAAAACCCGCACGCGUAAUGAAAGUGAAAUUAGGUGAGAGCUUCGGCGCAUCAUCGACCGAUCCUGAAGUUUUCGGAUGGAUUUGAGUAAGAGUUUUAACGGCCGGACCCGAAAGACAGUGAACUAUGCUUGAAUAGGGUGAAGCCAGAGGAAACUCUGGUGGAGGCUCGCAGCGGUUCUGACGUGCAAAUCGAUCGUCAAAUAUGAGCAUGGGGGCGAAAGACUAAUCGAACUGUCUAGUAGCUGGUUACCGCCGAA